CGAACGCUGGCGGCGUGCUUAACACAUGCAAGUCGAACGCGAAAGGGACUUCGGUCCUGAGUAAAGUGGCGCACGGGUGAGUAACGCGUAGAUAACCUGUCUUCAUGUCUGGAAUAAUACGCCAAAGGGGUACUAAUACCGGAUAUUCUUGCUUUUCAUAAGUUAUGCAAGCAAAGGUGGCCUCUGCAUAUGCUACUGCAUGAAGAGGGGUCGUGCGUACCAUUAGCUAGUAGGUGGGGUAAUGGCCUACCUAGGCGACGAUGGUUAGCGGGUCUGAGAGGAUGAUCCGCCACACUGGCACUGGAACACGGGCCAGACUCCUACGGGAGGCAGCAGUGAGGAAUAUUGCGCAAUGGGGGAAACCCGUGACGCAGCGACGCCGCGUGAGUGAGGAAGGCCUUCGGGUCGUAAAGCUCUGUCAAGAGGAAAGAAGUGUACAAUGGCUAAUACCUGUUGUAUUUGACGGUACCUCUAAAGGAAGCACCGGCUAACUCCGUGCCAGCCGCGGC
This 509-nucleotide ribosomal RNA is filed under the name uncultured bacterium. RNAcentral describes it as "bacterial SSU rRNA". It matches the Rfam family "Bacterial small subunit ribosomal RNA", at positions 30 to 518 of the family's 1533-position model. The record is from RNAcentral.